GUCUCUUGGUUUGAGUCUGGUCGCUUCCGGAGGCACGGCAAAAGCGAUCAGGGAUGCUGGCCUGGCAGUCAGGUAAGGCAGUAGGUAGCGUUAAAGGGAGAAAAACGUUGUGACCAUAUUCACCAGAAAGCCAUGCAAAAAACUGACAAAACACAGGGAGAAGUUAGGUUAGAACUAGGGAGCCUUGAGUUUUAGAGUCCUAGCACCCAGCCACUGUUUGCAAACAAAUUAACUUCGGAGGGCCAUGUGUUAUGCAGAAUAAACACGAAUGUUCAGGUUCCAUGGCCUGGCUUUGACUGGUUGCACAGUUAGACUGUAACAUCUUUGAAGAUCUGUAUCUCCCUCUUCAUAGCCUCACCCAUCAGAAAGUACCAGUGGCUCGAUCACACUCAUCUCCUGACUAACAGUGGGAAGGGUUUGACAAGAGAUGUCAGGAGAUGACCCUGAAGGUCUGGAAGGUAGAAAAGGAAAAAGACCUUAGUUCCCUGGCUGUUUUCAUUGCCAUUAUAACUCUUGGUUUGUGGAGAAUCCCUAUAGAGGUAAAUUAUUCACCUCUUCAUAACUCUUGUUUGUGUAAGCAGUACAUAACCCCUGUACAUUUGACAGCUUCAGACAGCAAGAAUGCCUUUACUUAGUAAAUGUCUUCAGUGGAUUCUCUUGUGACUUAUGGGAGUCCGGAGCAUCAGGGACAGCAGACAAGUAGGCUCCUGUGAGGUGCAGUUGAGUUACUGUGGAGCUGGUAUGGGUAGGCCAUUGUUGCUGUGGCAUUUACGAUGAAGUACGAGGAGUUCUUGCAUUGUCUAUCGCCUAGUUUAAAUGUUUCUCAGAUGGUCAUUCAUAUUUCCACGCCACUGCCCAGUAUUUGCUUGCCCCGUUACGCCUUCUCGUAUUCUUUUGGUGGUAUGGAAGACUGACCCCAAUGUCCAGUCCACUCCUGAGCUGUAUCCCUAGUUCAUUUUUUAUGCUUUGCUUCAGAAACUUUUAAAACUUAGAGCCAGGGUCUCUGUAGGUUGCCCAGGCUGGCCUUGAACUUGUGAUCCUCCUGCCUCUUCCUCCUUGAGUGAGUUGGAGUAUGGAUAUCUUUUAGAAAUUAGAACUAUGUCCUGUUAAAGAGUAAGUGUUUUUGUUUGUUUAUGCGGGUCCUGGUGCAUGGGAGACAAACUUUGUACACCUGAGCCAUAUUUCCAGUCCAAACAUAUUUUUAAUGUUUUUGUUGUUGUUAAAUUCACUAUAAAUGAUUCUCAGUAGAAUCUCUUUGCUUUGUUUGUUUGCUUUUGGUUUUUCAGGCAAUGGUUUCCCUAUGUUGUCCUGGAACUUUAUCUGUAGACCAGGCUGGGCUUGAACUCACAGAGAUCCACUUGCCCCUGCCUCCUGAGUGAUGGGAUUAAAGACGUGUGCCACCACUGCCCUUGAAUUUCAUAAUUAAAGGUUGUUAAGAGUCUGGACAUUGUAAAGCCAGUGCUUUAAUACCUAAUUGAUUUUCUAAAACAUAUCAUUUAGGAAAUAUAACAUUUUGCAGUAUAUGAAUAACAUUUAGGAAAUCCAACACAGUGAAAAUUUUUAAAGCUUUGCUUAAGUUGGACUUGAAAAAAAAACCUCUUGUAGAUUUGGUGGGAGAUGCUUUGAGUCCUGGAAAGUGAUAAUUCAGUAACUGUUUUAUUACUCUGUUUUCAGAGAUGUGUCUGAGCUAACAGGGUUCCCUGAAAUGUUAGGGGGACGCGUGAAAACCUUGCACCCUGCGGUCCAUGCUGGUAAGUGGUUGAGGGUUGUAAUCCCUCAGUUUAUAACAGAUUUUAGUUCAUAGUUUCAAAAGAUACAGGAAGAAAUAAAUCAUAAGCCCCCAAAAAAAGAUUUUAAAAGAGUCUACUUCUCCCAUUGAUCCCUUUAUAAUCUGACUCCUCACUACAGGAUAAGUUCAGAUUGUUUUCCUACAUUGCUUUUGAUCGUGACCUACUAACUAAUUUAGCUAAUCUAGAUUGCGUUGUUUCUAUGUACAGUCUGACUAUACACUUCUGUAGUUCACACUUGGAAUACAGUGUUACCCUGUAACUGUUUCUC
RNAcentral lists this long non-coding RNA (2058 nucleotides) under Mus musculus (house mouse). RNAcentral's name for it is "long non-coding RNA chr1:71557551-71559609". The record is from RNAcentral. Lineage: Eukaryota; Metazoa; Chordata; Mammalia; Rodentia; Muridae.